GUGAAAGCGUCUGUAGUUUUAUUUCUUUUGUGAGUGUUUUAGGCGAUGUUAUUAAUAGUAUGUAAUCAAAUGACCAGAUAGAAGUAUGUGAGUAAUUAUAUAGCACACAAGUAAUAUAAUCAACAUUAAUUAUAUACUUCCGAAGCACUUGUACGGAUAUACUAUUAUCAGGAACUUCUAAAAAUAAAUAAAAGGAUAUAAAUGACCAAUAGCAUGGUCACUAAUAUAAUUCUUAGAUCAUUGAUAGUCAACUUAUAAACAUCCGAUAUAUUGAACACACCACUUACGACAAUUAGAAGAUAAGAAUAUUUAAGGUAGCACG
This 322-nucleotide long non-coding RNA is filed under the name Mytilus galloprovincialis (Mediterranean mussel). Lineage: Eukaryota; Metazoa; Mollusca; Bivalvia; Mytilida; Mytilidae. The record is from RNAcentral.